Molecule: long non-coding RNA, 4879 nt
Organism: Meriones unguiculatus (Mongolian gerbil)
Lineage: Eukaryota; Metazoa; Chordata; Mammalia; Rodentia; Muridae
Exons: 4
Source: RefSeq, a predicted model, not a curated record
CCCUCCGAGAGGGGUCGCUUCGGUCCGCUCGCCCACCGCGGGGGGCUGCAUUGUCUUGGAGGCCGAGCCCCGGGGCCCGCGCCCGUCUCCCCCACGCCGGGCCCCGCGGGCCCCGGGGCUCGGCCCUGCGUCUCUGCAAAGUUUCAAACCCGUUAGGGCAAGCGGCUCGCCCGGCUCGGAGGCGCUUCGGGCCCCUCCGGGGACAGACCCGGGUCUGGGCACCCGGCAUCCGAGCCGUGCGCGCCUGUGGCCUGGCGGGGUUGUGUGCCGGUUCCCCCUGCGGGGAGGGGCGGGGGGCCUCGAACUCUGUCUGAGGAGCAGCGAGACCGUUGCAGUAACUGCACGACACCGGUUCCCCUUUCCGCUGAGUCCUCCAGAGCAGGUUCUGUUUGGCAGAAUGGCUUGGGCGCCUCCCACCCUGAUGAGUGCGAAGAACGUUUAAAAGUGAGUUCGGGUCUUUCUAGUGGUUGGACAGAAGUGCUGGAGGCAGAAACCGGCUGUGUGACUAGCCUUCAGUUUAAAAGCACCAAUCUCUGCCUUCUCGGCGCCUUUGGCAUGGAGAAGAAACGCCUGACCCAGAGGCCAGCCCCCUCAGUCAGCACACGGUCCCUCCCUCAGACACGCUCUGCGGCGAGAUACAGACAGUCUGCAGGCACGGAUGGAUCCUAAAAUUUUGUGGCUUUUUAAAGAAGAGCCUCAUGAACACAGUGGAGACGGCAGCCUUGAGACACUCUGGUGCACUGAUCUGGAAGUCCAGCUCAGACUGAAGUCUAGCUCAGAUCUGGGCGGCUGCUGAUCACAGCUCAAAACAGACAUCUCCAAGAGGAGAAUCCGCCAGGCAGCACCCCUGGAUUUCUCUCCGAAAGGCCGUUCAGCAUUUCACCUCCGACGGCAAGCUCUCUGCACAGCCCUUACUGCUCCCCAUGCCUACCUCAGGAAUGCCUACCCGAUAACUGGAAGAAGAAGGGGGUGGGGGAGAACUUAGGUCUGUGUGAUAUGUUUCAGGGAUUACCAAGUCAAUUACUGAAACAGAAAAGUAAAAAGGAGACAGUCGGGCCUCACCUGCUAGGGCGUAUUCAAUUCAACAGCUCCCGGGGAGAGCACGUUCUCUCUGCGUGGGGACCAGUGUGCCGGCAAGUCCACAGCAGUGUGAGGUAAUAUGUUUGGUCAGCAGGUGUGGACCCCGAGUGAACAGUGGCUUAAGACCUGGAAAGCAAGAGGCAGUCAUGCCCUGCAAGGAGAAAAGCCUUCUCGGGCUAUUAUUUAACAUUCUACAUAUACGAGCUACAGAAUGAACGAAGGAGAAUUAUCUAAAAUCCCUGCCAAAGCAGGGCCUGCUUUCUCGAAGCAAUCUCAAGCUUUAGUAGUUCAGACAGAUUCUCUCGCUGACAAUUAAUAUUAAUGGGUAGAUUUCACAAUGUGGCAUUAUCACGCGGGAGAUGGGUGGGCACACCAGCUGGGCUUUGGCAGGUAUUAGAUGUAAUCAAAGGGAUUACUCGGCUCAGGGAGAAACAGGAAACCUUGGGUUUGUUUAGUCUCUUGCCUCUUUUGUUUGGACGCAGCUCUAGGUGUGCUUAACUGUUUUCUCCCUUGGUCCUUUAGUUGUGGUUGGAAACAUCUGGGAAGGGGGACACACGCAGAGGCGAAGAAGGGUGGACAAUCUGAAAAGAGAGCUUGAGUGUGGAGCUGUGGUCCACUUUGCUUUCUCACUUGAAAUUCACCAACAUUUGCCGAGUGCCAACUCUGGGCAAGGGGCCUGCCAGGGUACCCCGAGAGCCUCAAGUAAGACGCCGGUGGCCCCAGAUCUGUUUCUGGGUCCUCCAGUCCGGGUGAAGGGCACCGCGUCUGCAGGAUCACGCAGGCCUUCAUUCAUCAUCUUGCACGCUCCCCACCACUGACCUGCACGGUCAUAGAAGGGCAUACACGUCGCUUCGGCAAUCAGAAGGUGGACUCUACCUCGGCUUUCAGAAAAUAAUCUCCUAACAUCCCAAGCGCUGAGCAGAGGAGUCCACCAAACACAUACACAUCCGUUUUCAUUAAAAGUCCACAGAAAUGUUGGUUGGUUCUUGGUCUUGGAGGCAGGUGAGCAGGCAGUCCUGAGGUGUGGGAACCCUGUCGGAGGGUCCUUCAGGCCACUUCAGCUUUCGCUCUGAAGGUAAGUGUGAAACACACUUACCACCUAAGACUCUGCCAAAUGGGAAUCCCCAACUCCCUCACCCAGGAUUGCCAUGCCUCCCCCCCCCCCCGCCCCCGGCCCCCAGGAUUCUCUGCUAAGCCAGUGGGAAGAACCGAAACACCCAGGAGCUACCCCCCCCCAACUCUUCUUGAACACAUAGGGCUGCAGAAGAUCCCAAGUUCUGAUAAAUUGUGCCUGUUUAUCUUGCCCCCAAAAAGUCAGUGUGUGGGACCGGUGUGCUUAGCCACCUUAAUCGAUGACGGUGAUUACCCUCGGAACUUCCUCUGAAGAUAGAGCAAUGAGAGGGCGGUUCGGUCCGCAAGAACGGCCGAAUUUGAUAAGGACCUGUUUCCUCCCCCUCACCGCCCCCCCCACCUCUCCCAUGUGACCCCAGCCUAAGACCCGCUCAGGUCGCCAGCCUUCACUCCUUUCCCCAGACACAAUCAACAGCCAGCUUACAGCACACUGCACUUAGAGGUGGAGCUCCUUUCUCCUCCGGCAGCUUCUGGCCAUAGGCUCAGGUGUAACGCACACGUGUUUCAUGUUUUACGUGAAUCCCUACAAAGCACGGUAUUAGCAACAAAGCUACCAAUCCAGCUGCUCGUGAGGCCACCGUGAACCCCUAACGUGGUGUGGCCUACCGGAACAGCCACUAGCCAAGGUAGUCACUUAGCUUCUACUUCAGCCCAGUGGUCACAGGGGAAAGAAGAGUUUUCACGGCCCUGCAGAACCUGCCUGCUUGGGUCAUCCAGGCCCAGGUGCCUCCUAGACACCUGAGCCCUCUAACCUAACAAUUUGGGGAUUAGGAAAAACCUCGAGAGAGCAGACUUACGAAUAUUGUUGUUGUUGUUGUUGUUGUUGCUAAGAGAUUACAGGGGAAAGCAGCUUCCUGAGCAGGCACUUGGGAGCUGACCCCACUCCGGAGCUUGCAGCCCUCUACCCUCAAAAACUUGCAUGAAGGGAACGAGUCUCCAGUGUUGGCCGGGCUAAGCACCGCCCGCGUCCAGCGUUCCCUUGCCUCGUCCUUUGCACCAGGGCGAACCGCAGGACAAAGGCGGCAGCUGCCCAGCACAGCGCGCAGGGGCGACCACGGCCACCCGGGGCUACCCCCAGGCGGCGAGGGAGGCCGGGCACCCGCCUUUGUCUGCCUGCCUCCGUGCUCCGGGUCUGCAUGAGGCGGGCGCCAUCGUGCGGCCAGAGUUCGGUACUGCAGUGCCGGUGGCAUGGCGGGAUGACAGGCCAAGCUGGACUGUUGUUGGCGUCAUGAGAUAUGGCCCCUGCGUUGGCUGUGAAGAUGCCUUCUCUUAUAUACGUAAUGUGCCGCGUAAAUAUAGAACUGCUUCUAACAAAGGAGUAUGAGCCACCCGAAGGGAAAAGGAGGAAGUGGACAGACUUGUCUAUGUAUAGUGACAUCUACACUCUUGAUUGAAAAUACUGGCUAACAGGGUUGCCCAGCUCCUCACGGGAUACUCCUGGGACCUCACCAAAGUACCGGAUUCCAGUCCUGCCAGUGACCUAUGGAAACUGUCUGUAACACGAGGACAGGAGAGCGGCGUCUAAUUCUUAUGGCCAUUUGUACCAUGACCUCACAUACACUUCCCAAACAUAUGCCUGAGAUGUACGUGAUGUUGUGGCCCUCUUCUCUGGAGACAGAAACUCUAUGACAAGAUACAGAAAUGAAAUUAAACUGUAUUUGGAGGGAUUAGAGGUUUUUCUAACUUUAGUAAGAGCGGAAAACGUGUUUGUGCCCAACCUCUGCCAUGAGUUUUGUUUUAAAAGAUAACAGAAAAGGGUGCUUCCUUCUGGCUUGUUUGAGACGGCAGGGGUAGAAUGGAUUUGCUCAGAAAUGAUCCUUCAGCUCCUUCAAGCCCGGCCUUCAUUUCUAAAAGGCAGCCCUGUCUUCCAGCAUGGUGGACAGCGUUCCAGCAACUUAAGUCCAGAGUCCAUUUAGGUUCUGAUCCAUCUUCGGUGGUAUUUAAGAGCUGAAGCAGGCCUGGGAGACAAGACUGAAUCUAUACAUUGUGAAGUCAAUCUGGGUUUUCAAGUAUGGGGGCGUGAGAGAUCGCUUCAUGUGAGACGAGUUUUUCUUCUUGAUCUAUUGGCUAAGAAGCCAAGGGGCAAAAAAGAGCAUACUCCCAUCGCUUCACUGUUAUCACCAUGAGUGUUAAGUUUCUGUCUUUGCAGCGUUUUCUUCUCAUAUAGCUGCUGUUCUCACCACUCUGCUACAGAAUCCGAGACAGGCAAAUACGAGACUGGGCGAAAGAGAUAAAGGCCUCCAUAAGAGCUGCUGCUCUUUGCUGUGGAAGUUUGGGGUUUGUGCUUCUUUCAGUUUUGCUUUCCUGUGUCCGUGUUUCUUUCUUUCUUUUAUUAUUUUUUUAAUUUAGCAGCCAAGAAUUCAAGAGCUAAGGCUGCUGAUAAACCUGUGUUAAGAUUAUCUCAGGUACCCAAGUGUGGGAGAAAACAAGAGUCCAGAAUAAAUUGCUUUUCUCAAAGUGGACCUUUCUGGCUUGAUUCGGUCUGGGAACUAAGCUAGAAGGCAGACGGGGCUUCCCUCCCAACAUCUGCGUCUUGAUUCCCAGAGUCUGAGAACCCCCAAGUACCUUUAUGGGCCCAGUGAGGACAUCAGCUCCCCCAAAAGCAGAGCUCAGGAGUCGGGCAGCACCCCAAGCUCCAGACGGGCAUAACCUGCAAACCACAAGACUC